This 630-nucleotide ribosomal RNA is filed under the name uncultured bacterium. Its description in RNAcentral is "bacterial SSU rRNA". It matches the Rfam family "Bacterial small subunit ribosomal RNA", at positions 44 to 690 of the family's 1533-position model. The record is from RNAcentral.
UCGAACGAAGCACUGAAAGCGGAUUACUUCGGUUUGAAGCUUUCUUUGACCGAUUGGCGGACGGGUGAGUAACGCGUGGGUAACCUGCCUCAUACAGGGGGAUAACAGUUAGAAAUGACUGCUAAUACCGCAUAAGCGCACGGUUUCGCAUGGAACAGUGUGAAAAACUUUAGUGGUAUGAGAUGGACCCGCGUCUGAUUAGCUGGUUGGUGAGGUAACGGCCCACCAAGGCGACGAUCAGUAGCCGGCCUGAGAGGGUGAACGGCCACAUUGGGACUGAGACACGGCCCAAACUCCUACGGGAGGCAGCAGUGGGGAAUAUUGCACAAUGGGGGAAACCCUGAUGCAGCGACGCCGCGUGAAGGAAGAAGUAUUUCGGUAUGUAAACUUCUAUCAGCAGGGAAGAAAAUGACGGUACCUGACUAAGAAGCCCCGGCUAACUACGUGCCAGCAGCCGCGGUAAUACGUAGGGGGCAAGCGUUAUCCGGAUUUACUGGGUGUAAAGGGAGCGUAGGCGGUUUAGCAAGUCAGAAGUGAAAGCCCGGGGCUCAACUCCGGGACUGCUUUUGAAACUGUUGAACUAGAUUGCAGGAGAGGUAAGUGGAAUUCCUAGUGUAGCGGUGAAAUGCG